Molecule: ribosomal RNA, 417 nt
Filed under: Triticum aestivum (bread wheat)
Lineage: Eukaryota; Viridiplantae; Streptophyta; Magnoliopsida; Poales; Poaceae
Description: partial small subunit ribosomal RNA
Source: RNAcentral
AUGGCGCGCAUCCAGCUCGUGGCUCUGGCCCUGACCAUGCUGUUCGCCGCCACCGCGGCCCAGGCCCCGGCGGCCACCCCGAUGCCCGCCCCCGUGGCCCCGGUGUCCCCGCCUCCGACGAUGCCGCCGCCGACCCCGGCUCCGGUGUCUCCCCCGCCGGCCGUGGCCCCCGCCACCCCUCCCCCGGCACCGGCGCCCGUCACACCGGCUCCCGCCCCCAUGGUCCCUGCCCCGACUCCCUCGACCAUGGCCCCCACCCCAGAGAUCAGCUCGCCGCCGGAGCCGUCGAUGAUGACCCCGACCCCUGCCCCGUCCAUGGACGCGCCCACCACCCCCGCCGGCGCCGCAGGCACCGUCCACCCCGCCGCCGCGUGGGCCGCCACCGCCGCCCUGGCCGCCGCCGCCGCCUUCUACUGA